GAUUUAUUGAUCGUCUUAUUUUUGUUUUGGUUGAGUUUAGUGUGGGGAGUAGGCUCGGUAAAAUAUUAUUCUGUUGUUGUAUUCUUUUGAUUUAAUUUUUUUGUGAUAGGUUACUUGUACUGUAGGGGGUUGAUUUUGCUGUUUUUUGGGAAGCUGGCUUGUUUUGUUGUACCUUGUGUAUCAGGGUUCAUUGAAUUUUAUUAUUUAUUUUUAUUUCCCGAUUUUAAAGGAGUUAGUGGUUUAUUUUAGUUGUUGUUUCAUCAAUAUUGGAAAUAGGUUGCUGGUAAUGAAAUGUUAUUCGUCUUUGGUGGUUUCUGGUUUUUCAAGAAAUGAAUUUAAUUCACGCGUCUUGUCUGGAUUUUUACUGUUUUAUAUUUUUCUUUACUUGACGUGAAAAUUAAGGGGGAUUAGCUCUUUAUUCUAUUUUUAUAAUUUUUGUGUUGAUUUAGUUUUGUGGAUUUUAUGGUGAUUUUCAAUGUGAUUAUGUUAAAAUUUUAUUUGUUUCUUUUGUUAUUUUAUCUUUAUUUAAUUAUUUAUUGGAAUGUUUUCUUUAUUUAUUUGCUGGAUUGUAAUUAUUGUGGAAUUAGUAAAUUUGUUUGUUGUGUUGUCUGUAUUUGUGUUUAAUUUCUUUUGAGGAAUUAGGCAAAUUUUGUGUCCGCCUGUUUAACAAAAACAUCUUUUCUUGUUAGUUUUUGAAGUAUGGCCUGCCCGCUGACUUGGGUGUUGAAGGGCCGCGGUAUUUUGACCGUGCAAAGGUAGCAUAAUCAUUAGUUCUUUAAUUGUGAUCUGGAAUGAAUGGCUUGACGAGGCACGAGCUGUCUUGGAUGUGAAUAUUUUAUUGAAUUUGGUCUUUGAGUUAAAAUUCUUAGAUGUUUUUAUGGGACGAGAAGACCCUAUAGAGUUUGACAUGUUGGUUUAUUUAUGUUGGUUGUUUGUUUUUAUUUUAUGGGUAAGUAGGUCUAUUUGUUUUGUUGGGGUGAUGAGAGGGAUGAUUUAACCCCUCUUGUUUUUGGUUAUAUUGAUUUAUAGUUGUUUGAUCCAUUUAUUUUGAUUAUAAGACUAAAUUACCUUAGGGAUAACAGCGUUAUCUCCCUUGAGAGUUCUUAUCGGCAGGGGGGUUUGCGACCUCGAUGUUGGAUUAAGGUGAAUUUUUGGUGUAGGAGCUGAGAGUUUUAAUUGGGUCUGUUCGACCUUUAGAAUCUUACAUGAUCUGAGUUCAAACCGGCGUGAGCCAGGUUGGUUUCUAUCUAUAAGUAUUUUUUGUACCUUAGUACGAGAGGACCAGGUACUUGGAAUAAUUUUGUUGUUGUUGAGUUUUAUUAACUGUGAUGACUAUUUUGGCAGAUAAGUGCAUUGGAUUUAGAAUCUAUU
RNAcentral lists this ribosomal RNA (1371 nucleotides) under Heterotermes malabaricus. RNAcentral describes it as "16S ribosomal RNA". The stretch from base 876 to 1253 matches the Rfam family "Bacterial large subunit ribosomal RNA", at positions 2073 to 2647 of the family's 2925-position model. The record is from RNAcentral. Lineage: Eukaryota; Metazoa; Arthropoda; Insecta; Blattodea; Rhinotermitidae.